UCAAUCCCGUAAUGCAUCACAAAGUAUUUUUGGCUAAAAAGAACUAUUAACAUUUUCAACGAUAUGGCACCUCAUUCAUGGCGGCCAUCGCUGAACAAUUGUGUGUUUACUAUUCUUUGUGAAUAGAAAAAUAUUUUAAGAACACUUUUAUAAGCAUUAAUGGCUAAAUAUUUAGUGAAAAAAGAUGUGCAUCCAUUUGUUUAUGAAGAAAAGAUGGUGUAUUAAUAAAAAGAAAAAGAACUGAAACAACGGUGC
Long non-coding RNA from Rhagoletis zephyria (snowberry fruit fly), 255 nucleotides. RefSeq lists it as uncharacterized. The record is from RefSeq and is a predicted model, not a curated record. NCBI's taxonomy places the organism in Eukaryota, Metazoa, Arthropoda, Insecta, Diptera, Tephritidae.